UGAUUACUCAAAAAGCAUGGCAUACGAACACCUAUAUCAACUUACCCAAAAAAAUAAAUUUAAAAAUAUCAUUUUUAUUAUUGGUGAAGAAUUUUAAAACCCCAUUUUUAUGGUUGGCCAAGUUAGUAUGUAAUUUUAUCUCUAUUUUGUUUCAAAUGAAUCAUUGGUGCAAGUCCUUUUCUUUUGGUACACCUUUAUCUCAUCUCUAUUGUAGGAUCAAUAUCCCCUGCAAUCCCAUUCUAAAAGAUAGAUCUUGAGUACAAGGAAAACUACCCUGGGAUAUCUCAUAAUGACCAGUCUUAAUUAUCACAGAAAAUCCCCAGCUCUGGAAUUAAGGAUUCAAGUUGUAUGACAUAAUAAUGGAAUUAAGGAUUCAAG
This 378-nucleotide unclassified non-coding RNA is filed under the name Hevea brasiliensis (rubber tree). The record is from RNAcentral. Lineage: Eukaryota; Viridiplantae; Streptophyta; Magnoliopsida; Malpighiales; Euphorbiaceae.